RNAcentral lists this small RNA (127 nucleotides) under Marmota monax (woodchuck). Lineage: Eukaryota; Metazoa; Chordata; Mammalia; Rodentia; Sciuridae. The record is from RNAcentral.
GCUGGGCCUGGUGGCACAUGCCUGUAAUCCAAGUAACUUAGGAGGCUGAGACAGGAGGAUUGCAAAUGCAAAGCCAGCCUUAGCAACUUAGUGAGGCCCUAAGCAACUUGGCAAAACCCUGUCUCUA